Molecule: unclassified non-coding RNA, 603 nt
Filed under: Hevea brasiliensis (rubber tree)
Lineage: Eukaryota; Viridiplantae; Streptophyta; Magnoliopsida; Malpighiales; Euphorbiaceae
Source: RNAcentral
GGUUAGCUCACAUUUUUGAAGCUUUUGCAGCAGGGCAUCACAAAAAAGUAUCUAUUUUAUUUUAUUCAUCCUCUUCAAGAUAGGAUAUAUAUGCAAAUAAAAUAUAGAGAAAAGUAUACUCGGAAGCAUUUCAUUUUUAUAUCUAAUUUAAAAAUCGAUACAAUCAAUCAAAAAAGCCUCAUUUCCUUGUAAACAGAAGCAUUGGUGAAAACAAGACACCAGACUCCCCAGGAAAAUCAAAAGAAUCAAUGAUGGGUCUGCGACAAAAGAACCAGAUCCAGUAUCAGCUCUAUACACUUUCCAGGGCAUUCAUUCCCUAGUAAAGGCCCUUUCCCCGUUAAGAAAUUUUGAUUAAAAAGAAAAGUUGGAAGUUGAUUAAUCUGGUAUGAAAUGGGGCAAUUUUAAAGCUCUAGCAUUCCUCUGCCACACAAGACAAAUCUCCAUCAAUGAGCGUGUAAAAGUUGCAGGGGAUGGCACAAGAUAAGAAUGAGCGAAUUUUGGAAAUUUCUAACAAAUCACAAGAAUAUCUCCUUGAGGAUUAGUAGGACCAACAUGAUAAAGCACAUGAUAACAAGCACCGUUGCACACAUCACCAUCCCUCCU